This 69-nucleotide transfer RNA is filed under the name Rhizomys sumatrensis (large bamboo rat). Its description in RNAcentral is "tRNA-Asp". Lineage: Eukaryota; Metazoa; Chordata; Mammalia; Rodentia; Spalacidae. The record is from RNAcentral.
GAGAUAUUAGUAAAAAAUUACAUAACUUUGUCAAAGUUAAAUUAUAGAAAUACAAUUCUAUAUAUCUCU